This 294-nucleotide ribosomal RNA is filed under the name Triticum aestivum (bread wheat). Its description in RNAcentral is "partial small subunit ribosomal RNA". Lineage: Eukaryota; Viridiplantae; Streptophyta; Magnoliopsida; Poales; Poaceae. The record is from RNAcentral.
AUGAGUAAUUGUUGUAGAUGUCCAUCGAAAACCAGCCUGGGUCUCCUGGGAUACUUUAAACUUUUCAAUUUGGCUCUACUUGCGAAACAGUUAUGGCGCAUCCUUCAAAACCUAGAGUCACUUAGUGCAAGAAUUUUGAAGGCUGUAUAUUUUUCCUCUGGUACCAUUUUGAGGGCGGAACUAGGUAACCACCUAAGUCAGGUCUGGAGAUCAAUUUUGGAGGGACGAGAUACACUCAAACAGGGACUAAUCAGACGAAUAGGCAAUGGAGCAUCGACACAUAUGGGGAGGUAA